UACGGGGGGGGGCAAGCGUUUGUUCGGAAUUACUGGGCGUAAAGGGCUCGUAGGCGGCCAACUAAGUCGGACGUGAAAUCCCCAGGCUCAACCUGGGAACUGCGUCCGAUACUGGAUGGCUUGAAUCCGGGAGAGGGAUGCAGAAUUCCAGGUGUAGCGGUGAAAUGCGUAGAUAUCUGGAGGAAGACCAGUGGCGAAGGCGGGUCUCUGGACAGUUCCUGACGCUGAGGCACGAAGGUCAGGGGAGCAAACGGG
RNAcentral lists this ribosomal RNA (255 nucleotides) under uncultured bacterium. Its description in RNAcentral is "partial 16S ribosomal RNA". It matches the Rfam family "Bacterial small subunit ribosomal RNA", at positions 524 to 776 of the family's 1533-position model. The record is from RNAcentral.